GGUUUCCCCGGAGGCAUGAUCUGCCCCUUCCAUGGCGUGUUUUGCCCGGUAGCCAGAUCUGGCUCGCUCGAGCGAAUCCAUGAAAAAGGGCUCAUUGGCGGCGUGGGUACCUGAUCUGGUACGAGGUCACAUCGAGAGCACUGUGUGGCUCGCCAUCCCGGCCAGCGACGAAACCAAGCUCAAGGUCCGCUUCUUCGUGCCGCCCUUCCUCCCCGUCUUCCUAGUCACAGGCGACUACUGGGAGCUCCACGUUAACAGCGACUAUGUACACGUUCGUCGCACAGCCCUCCAUGAGAUCUUGUGCAGGCAGCCGCACUUGACGAGGUCGUGUGCAACGAACUGGUGGGGAGGGUCAAGAAGGAAGGGUACGACGUAAGGAAGCUCCGCAUGGUGGCGCACCGCGACACGCCGCUGCAGAGCGAACAGGGCCCGGGACAGCGGGCUGUUUCGAAAUUUAUGAAAGAGCAGCAAACUAUUAUUAUGUCCGGAUUUUUCUCCUUGUGUAAACUAUGUACAUAUGUUUAACUUGCCGUUCUUGUUGCAUUUUGGGACUAAAGAUGCGGGCCUGCCCAGGUGGUCUGGAAUUUGGAUGUUGAACACAGCAGCCUUGAUCAUCGCCAAGAUUCAAACAAAGAAUGUCAAGAUGGGAACACAGUUGCGAUUAAGAAAAUCAGGCUAGGGAAGUACAAGGAAGGUGUGAACUUCACUGCAUUGAAGCAAAUUAAACUGCUCAAGGAGCUGAAAGAUCAUAAUAUUAUAGACCUAAUUCAUGGAGACUGACUUGGAAGCUGCCAUAUGAGAUAUGAACAUUGUAUUUUCUCCAGCUGACACAGAAUCAUAUGUUCAGAUGAUGUUGAAAGGUCUAGCUUCCUGCCAUAAGAAAUGGGUGCUACAGAGGGGUAAACCAAAUAAUUUACUCAUCGGAGCUGAUGGGCAGCUCAAGAUUGCUGACUUUGGCCUGGCACUCAGCAUGCUCUUUUCGUUAGAAUAUAUGGGUUUGGCUUAUUAUAUUUAAGCAAUUUUAAAUACAUUUUAAAGGCCUAACUAAAUGGAGGUAGGGGUGCAUUUUUAGUCCCACCUUACUAGUGGAGGUG
Phragmites australis (common reed) is the source of this 1094-nucleotide long non-coding RNA. RefSeq lists it as uncharacterized. NCBI's taxonomy places the organism in Eukaryota, Viridiplantae, Streptophyta, Magnoliopsida, Poales, Poaceae. The record is from RefSeq and is a predicted model, not a curated record. The transcript has 4 exons.